GCGUUCGUAGCUCAGUUGGUUAGAGCACCACCUUGACAUGGUGGGGGUCGUUGGUUCGAGUCCAAUCUAACGCACCA
This 77-nucleotide transfer RNA is filed under the name Klebsiella pneumoniae. Its description in RNAcentral is "tRNA-Val". It matches the Rfam family "tRNA". From Rfam's summary of the family: Transfer RNA (tRNA) molecules are approximately 80 nucleotides in length. Their secondary structure includes four short double-helical elements and three loops (D, anti-codon, and T loops). The record is from RNAcentral. Lineage: Bacteria; Pseudomonadati; Pseudomonadota; Gammaproteobacteria; Enterobacterales; Enterobacteriaceae.